GAAGAUCGGUGGGGGUUAAGCCGGAGGGUUGGAGUUUUAAGACCCAAUUCGACUCCGGGCUGAUCAAUUAGGUAGUUUUUAGCUGCACAUAGAGUGGCUGUACAUAGAGUGAUCGUCUUCCUCCGAGCUCCGCUGCACAUAGAGUGAGUUCGUCGUCUCUGCUCCACCUGUACAUAGAGUGAGCUCUCAUCCUCUCUGCCCGCUGUGUACAACUCCCCUUGUUUUUGGUCUUUUGGAUAUACAUCAAUA
Molecule: long non-coding RNA, 249 nt
Filed under: Triticum aestivum (bread wheat)
Lineage: Eukaryota; Viridiplantae; Streptophyta; Magnoliopsida; Poales; Poaceae
Description: long non-coding RNA (TAES_LNC012605)
Source: RNAcentral